AUAACGGGUAACGGAGAAUCAGGGUUCGAUUCCGGAGAAGGAGCUUGAGAAUUGGCUACUACAUCUAAGGAAGGCAGCAGGCGCGCAGAUUACCCAAUCCCGAUUCGGGGAGGUAGUGACAAAAAAUAACAAUACCGGGCCUUUUUGGGCUUGGUAAUUGGAAUGAGGGAGAGUUAAACGGACCAUCGAGUAUCCAUUGGAGGGCAAGUCUGGUGCCAGCAGCUGCGGUAAUACCAGCUCCAAUAGCGUAUAUUAAAGUUGUUGCAGUUAAAAAGCUCGUAGUUGGACUUGUGUGCGCUGUCCGCGGGUGGCCUGCGCCCAAAAGGGCGUUUCGGUUCGGCCCCGGUGGCGCCUUGAAAUCUGCAGCUGGGGGGACGUUGGCCUUAACUGGUCGGCGACCGCACGCCGGCUGCUCGGUUACUGUGAGAAAAUUAGAGUGUUCAAGGCAGGCAUUGGGUGCAAUUGAAUACAUUAGCAUGGAAUAAUAAAAUAUGGCUCCUGCCGUAUUUUGUUGGUUUUGACUGGUGGGAGUAAUGAUUGAUAGGGACGGUUGGGGGUGCUAGUAUUGAGCGGCCAGAGGUGAAAUUCAUGGAUUCGCUCAAGACUAACUUAUGCGAAAGCAUUCACCAAGGACGUCCUCUUUAAUCAAGAACGAAAGUUGGGGGAUCGAAGACGAUCAGAUACCGUCGUAGUCUCAACCAUAAACUAUGUCGACUUGGGAUCGGCGGUAGUUUUUUCAUUAAGACACUGUCGGGACCACGGGAGAAAUCAAAGUGUCUGGACUCUGGGGGAAGUAUGGUCGCAAGGCUGAAACUUGAAGGAAUUGACGGAAGGGCACCACCAGGAGUGGAGCCUGCGGCUUAAUUUGACUCAACACGGGGAAACUUACCAGGUCCAGAGAUGUAGAGGAUUGACAAAUUGAAGCUCUUUCUUGAUCACUUCGGUGGUGGUGCAUGGCCGUUCUUAGUUGGUGGAGUGAUUUGUCUGGUUAAUUCCGUCAACGAACGAGACCUCAGCCUGCUGGUGUAGUCGGCUGGAUUGCCUUUGGCGAUCCGUGAUUUCGACUUCUUAGAGGGACAAUCGACGCGCAGUCGAUGGAAGUUUGAGGCAAUAACAGGUCUGUGAUGCCCUUAGAUGUUCUGGGCCGCACGCGCGCUACACUGCUGGGCUCAGCGAGUUUUACUUGGCCGAGAGGCCCGGUUAAUCUUGUGAAAUCCCAGCGUGCUUGGGCUCGCCUCCUGCAACUGGAGGCGCCAACGAGGAAUUCCUAGUAGACGCAGGUCAUCAACCUGCAUCGAUUACGUCCCUGCCCUUUGUACACACCGCCCGUCGUUCCAUAAGAGUGAGGCAUCCGGUGAAUUCUCGGGAGAGCCUGGGCGUGGCCAGCAAUGGUCUGCUCGGGUUUGAACUUGCAUAAACUUGGUGCCUAUGAUUAGGGAAAAGUCGUAACAAGGUU
Molecule: ribosomal RNA, 1456 nt
Filed under: metagenome
Description: SSU rRNA
Rfam family: Eukaryotic small subunit ribosomal RNA
Source: RNAcentral